Molecule: transfer RNA, 63 nt
Filed under: Cordylochernes scorpioides
Lineage: Eukaryota; Metazoa; Arthropoda; Arachnida; Pseudoscorpiones; Chernetidae
Description: tRNA-Gly
Rfam family: tRNA
About the family: Transfer RNA (tRNA) molecules are approximately 80 nucleotides in length. Their secondary structure includes four short double-helical elements and three loops (D, anti-codon, and T loops).
Source: RNAcentral
GCAUCAGUGGUACAAUGCUCGCCUGCCACGCGGGUGGCCCGGGUUCGAUUCCCGGCCGAUGCA